Molecule: long non-coding RNA, 1665 nt
Organism: Anolis sagrei ordinatus
Lineage: Eukaryota; Metazoa; Chordata; Lepidosauria; Squamata; Anolidae
Source: RefSeq, a predicted model, not a curated record
AUGCGUGCUUCCCGCUUUUCAUUGUGACGGCUUUGAGGGUCGAGGGAGGCAGUGCGCAUGCUCGCGGGCAUGGAUGCCUACUGCCUCCCCCUCCCUCCCUCUUUCCAUCCUUUCUUGCCUCCCCUUGAUUGGCUGAAGGCGUCGGAGGCAAGCGGACGGAAAGGGAGGGGGAGGAGGAGGCGGAGGCGAAGGAAAAAAAGGAAGAGGAGCAAGCAGCCCCGCCCCUCCUCACCAGCGAGGUCACGCCCCUCCUGGCGCGGGGGGUGGGGCCAAGGAGGCGCCCCUCUCCCGGAUUGGCCCUCGUUUUGAGCGACAGGGAAGCGAGGGGGGAGGAACCGGAGGGGGGCCGCUGCUGCCGCUAAGCCAAUAGGAAGGCCGCCCGUUCCUGCUAGAAACCCCGCCCAAGGGAGACCUGUGGCCCCGCCCUCCUCGGAUGAUGUCUCAAGCACAAAAGGAGAAACAAGAGAAGAAAAGGAACAUGGAGAAAAAAGGAUCGGGGACAGGAAGAAGAGGCUCCCUUCCAGAAGAACAGGGGAUUAAAGAUGUAAUUAGAAAAAUUAUGAAACUCCAAACAGAAGUCAAAAAGAUACAAGAUCACCAGACUGGGCCACAGCAACUCCUGGCAGGGGACCGCUAAUGAUGAUGAUGAUGAUGAUGAUGAUGUGGGAUUUCUGGCUAAAGCAUCUCCCAAAAGGAUGUCCACUCUCUUUUUUGAUGAUGAUGAUGAUGAUGAUGAUGAUGAUGAUGCUAUGGGGGUUCUCUGGAUAUCUUUGGUUCCAUUCAAUCCUAUUGCUGUGCUUCUUUUCCUUGAGGCAAAUCCACUUGUCUGUUUCUCCCCUUUUUGGGACCAAACUGACAUCUCCAUCUUCUUGAAACCUGAUGUCGACCCUGUCUGGAUUUAUUAUAUUUCGCCCCCCUUGCUUGCAUCUGUCAUAGAAAGCCGUUGACGUUGAUUAUGCUCAAAGUAGGUUAGUGGGCCAGGCUGGUGCUAGGAAACCGGCGGCAGAUCUAUGUAGCCGGCCUUUGAUUUGCUCUCCUGCUCCGACCCCCCCCCCCCCGGCCCCAACACAUUUGGAACCAUUGGACAAAAAAGGGUGCCAUAGGGACCUCUAAAGGCCAUCCAGUCCAACUCCACUCUGCAAUAAAGGACGGCACCAUCCAAUCCCUCCCAACAAAUGACCAUCCAUCCUCAUGGAGUUAGAAGAGACCCCAAAGGCCAUGCAGACCAACCCCAUUCUGCAAUAAAGGACAGCAGCAUCCAAUCCCUCCUGACCUCUGCUUAAAAACCUCAAAAUUGCCAUAUUCUUCUCCCUCAGCCAGGUGGCGCCCUUAGGGUGGAAGAGCCAGGUAGGAAGUCUGUUCAUUGCAGGUUGUAUUAGCACCUUCACAAACCUGUCAAGGUGCUAGUCCUCUUUGAGGAUGCCCUGGAUAUCUUUGUCUCUCUGUUUCCACCCAUUUUCCUCAAACUGAGACUUUUCUUUAACGCCAUUCUUGUGCAACCCAUUAUUUUCCCCAUUAAUCAUAUUGGUCUCCCUCGAUUCAAUAUAUUGCCGUGUUUUAAUUUUUUUAAACUGAGUUUCAACUUGGUUUUAUACCUCUUAAAAUGUUUUAGCUGAAAGGAAAUCAAAGGGAGAUAGACAGGGCCAUAGCUAGAGGGAGGGUUAA